UUUUUGUAUCUGCAUUGAAUAAAAGAUUGGAUGAGGUGAACAUCAAGAUGUUUCAUGCGAUAGCUGUUAAUUUGAAGAACUCCGUGCAGGCAGUUUAUCAUCGUUCAUGCUACAAAAGUUACACAAGUAAACAUAUUUGUUCCCCCUUUUAGAGCGAGGAAGCUUCUAAUCUGAUAUUUAAUGACGACAUACAAUUAUCGGACUGUUGUCCCUCAGUUUCGGGUAUU
RNAcentral lists this long non-coding RNA (227 nucleotides) under Mytilus galloprovincialis (Mediterranean mussel). Lineage: Eukaryota; Metazoa; Mollusca; Bivalvia; Mytilida; Mytilidae. The record is from RNAcentral.